RNAcentral lists this ribosomal RNA (292 nucleotides) under uncultured Acidobacteriota bacterium. RNAcentral's name for it is "uncultured Acidobacteria bacterium partial 16S ribosomal RNA". The record is from RNAcentral. Lineage: Bacteria; Pseudomonadati; Acidobacteriota.
GGACUACACGGGUUUCUAAUCCUGUUUGCUACCCACGCUUUCGUGUCUCAGCGUCAGAAAUGGUCCAGUAAGCUGUCUACACCACAGGUGUUCCUCCUGAUAUCUACGCAUUUCACCGCUACACCAGGAAUUCCGCUUACCUCUCCCAUCCUCGAGCACUCCAGUUUCCGCCGCACCCUCCCAGUUAAGCCGGGAGAUUUCACAACAGACUUAGAGCACCGCCUACACACUCUUUACGCCCAGUAAUUCCGAACAACGCUUGCUGCCUACGUAUUACCGCGGCGGCUGGCAC